This 1278-nucleotide ribosomal RNA is filed under the name uncultured bacterium. RNAcentral's name for it is "bacterial SSU rRNA". It matches the Rfam family "Bacterial small subunit ribosomal RNA", at positions 42 to 1342 of the family's 1533-position model. The record is from RNAcentral.
GCGAAGCAUUUAACAUGAAGUUCUCGGAUGGCUUUUUAACUGACUGAGCGGCGGACGGGUGAGUAACGCGUGGGUAACCUGCCUUAUACAGGGGGAUAACAGUUAUUCUUGACAGCUAAUACCGCAUAAGCGCACAGUACCGCGUGGUACAGUGUGAAAAACUCCGGUGGUAUAAGAUGGACCCGCGUCUGAUUAGCCAGUUGGCGGGGUAACGGCCCACCAAAGCGACGAUCAGUAGCCGACCUGAGAGGGUGACCGGCCACAUUGGGACUGAGACACGGCCCAAACUCCUACGGGAGGCAGCAGUGGGGAAUAUUGCACAAUGGGGGAAACCCUGAUGCAGCAACGCCGCGUGAGUGAAGAAGUAUUUCGGUAUGUGAAAGCUCUAUCAGCAGGGAAGAAGAUGACGGUACAUGAUUAAGAAGCCCCGGCUAAGUGCGUGCAAACAGCCGCGGUAAUACGUAGGGGGCAAGCGUUAUCCGGAUUUACUGGGUGUAAAGGGAGCGCAGACGGCAGGGCAAGUCCGGAGUGAAAGCCCGGGGCCCAACCCCGGAACAGCUCCGGAAACCGCGCGGCNAGAGNACNGGAGGGGCAGGCGGAACCCCNAGNGNAGCGGNGAAAUGGCGUAGACCUUAGGAAGAACACCAGUGGGGAAGGCGGGCCUUGCUGGACAGUAAUUGACGUUGGGGCUCGAAAGUGUGGGGAGCAAACAGGAUUAGAUACCUUGGUAGUCCACGCCGUAAACGAUGAAUGCUAGGUGUCGGGGAGCAAAGCUUCCCGGUGCCGCCGCAAACGCAUUAAGCAUUCCACCUGGGGAGUACGUUCGCAAGAAUGAAACUCAAAGGAAUUGACGGGGACCCGCACAAGCGGUGGAGCAUGUGGUUUAAUUCGAAGCAACGCGAAGAACCUUACCAAGUCUUGACAUCCCCCUGACCGGACCGUAACGGGUCCUUCCCUUCGGGGCAGGGGAGACAGGUGGUGCAUGGUUGUCGUCAGCUCGUGUCGUGAGAUGUUGGGUUAAGUCCCGCAACGAGCGCAACCCCUAUCCCCAGUAGCCAGCAGUAAGAUGGGCACUCUGUGGAGACUGCCAGGGACAACCUGGAGGAAGGCGGGGAUGACGUCAAAUCAUCAUGCCCCUUAUGAUUUGGGCUACACACGUGCUACAAUGGCGUAAACAGAGGGAAGCGAAGGAGCGAUCCGGAGCAAACCCCAGAAAUAACGUCCCAGUUCGGAUUGCAGGCUGCAACCCGCCUGCAUGAAGCUGGAAUCGCUAGUAAU